Molecule: ribosomal RNA, 610 nt
Rfam family: Eukaryotic large subunit ribosomal RNA (bases 522-610)
CUAGCUGCGUGAAUUAAUGUGAAUUGCAGAACACAUUGAACAUCGACACCUUGAACGCACAUGGCGGCUUCGGGUUUACCCCGGGGCCACGCCCGUCUGAGGGUCGGUUGGCUAAAGCGAUCGCUACCUUGUCCGUAAAUUUUUUUUUUGUCCGGUCUCUAUCAUUUCUCGGGCUCUCGCGAGAUUGUGCAUGAGACUGGUACAUCAAAAUAAUUUUGGUAGCGCAUUGGGCCUUCGUGAAUAGCGUACGGUUAGCGCCCUUGCUCUCUGCGCUUCGUCGCAUGUUCUCGUGGCUUUAAGUACAGGAUGCGCCGUCGUCCUAUCUGUCCUACGAGAUGCUGCUCGCCUCGUCGGUGGUCUCUCGCUGCGCGACAGGUACCCGGCUCGUGCUUUAAAAGCGAGCUGUACGGACCUGGGACGCGCGUGAAAUGUUCGGGAGAUGGGCCGCAUAGCAGCGAUUCGUUCGGACUUACGGCGUCCGUCUUACACAUUAAUUUGUGUGGCGUGAAACAUUUUUUAUCCGACCUCAGAUCGGACGAGAUUACCCGCUGAAUUUAAGCAUAUUACUAAGCGGAGGAAAAGAAACUAACAAGGAUUUCCCUAGUAACGG